Molecule: ribosomal RNA, 273 nt
Filed under: uncultured Staphylococcus sp.
Lineage: Bacteria; Bacillati; Bacillota; Bacilli; Caryophanales; Staphylococcaceae
Description: partial 16S ribosomal RNA
Rfam family: Bacterial small subunit ribosomal RNA
Source: RNAcentral
UACGUUAGCGGCGGACGGGUGAGUAACACGUGGGUAACCUACCUAUAAGACUGGGAUAACUUCGGGAAACCGGAGCUAAUACCGGAUAAUAUUUCAACCGCAUGGUUCGAUAGUGAAAGAUGGUUUUGCUAUCACUUAUAGAUGGACCCGCGCCGUAUUAGCUAGUUGGUAAGGUAACGGCUUACCAAGGCGACGAUACGUAGCCGACCUGAGAGGGUGAUCGGCCACACUGGAACUGAGACACGGUCCAGACUCCUACGGGAGGCAGCAGCC